This 467-nucleotide ribosomal RNA is filed under the name uncultured bacterium. RNAcentral describes it as "partial 16S ribosomal RNA". It matches the Rfam family "Bacterial small subunit ribosomal RNA", at positions 28 to 506 of the family's 1533-position model. The record is from RNAcentral.
GACGAACGCUGGCGGCGUGCUUAACACAUGCAAGUCGAACGGAAAGGCCCUGCUUUUGUGGGGUGCUCGAGUGGCGAACGGGUGAGUAACACGUGAGUAACCUGCCCUUGACUUUGGGAUAACUUCAGGAAACUGGGGCUAAUACCGGAUAGGAGCUCCUGCUGCAUGGUGGGGGUUGGAAAGUUUCGGCGGUUGGGGAUGGACUCGCGGCUUAUCAGCUUGUUGGUGGGGUAGUGGCUUACCAAGGCUUUGACGGGUAGCCGGCCUGAGAGGGUUACCGGCCACAUUGGGACUGAGAUACGGCCCAGACUCCUACGGGAGGCAACAGUGGGGAAUAUUGCACAAUGGGCGGAAGCCUGAUGCAGCAACGCCGCGUGCGGGAUGACGGCCUUCGGGUUGUAAACCGCUUUCGCCUGUGACGAAGCGUGAGUGACGGUAAUGGGUAAAGAAGCACCGGCUAACUACGU